This 496-nucleotide ribosomal RNA is filed under the name uncultured bacterium. Its description in RNAcentral is "bacterial SSU rRNA". It matches the Rfam family "Bacterial small subunit ribosomal RNA", at positions 28 to 524 of the family's 1533-position model. The record is from RNAcentral.
GAUAAACGCUGGCGGCGUGCAUGAGACAUGCAAGUCGAACGGACGAUCAGGGCUUGCUCUGAUCGUUAGUGGCGGACGGCUGAGUAACGCGUAGGUGACCUGCCCCGAAGUGGGGGAUAACUGCCCGAAAGGGUGGCUAAUACCGCAUGUGGUGGUUCGUUCAUUCGAACCAUCAAAGCAGUAAUGCGCUUCGGGAGGGGCCUGCGUCCGAUUAGCUCGUUGGUGGGGAACGGCUCACCAAGGCGACGAUCGGUAGGUGGUCUGAGAGGAUGGUCAGCCACACUGGGACUGAGAUACGGCCCAGACUCCUACGGGGGGCAGCAGUCUAGAGGCUUCGGCAAUGGGGGCAACCCUGACCGAGCGACGCCGCGUGUGGGAUCGAAGGCGUUUUCGUUGUAAACCACUGUUCCGGGGAAGAAUGCCCCGAUGGCGAAUCGGGAGCGACGGUACCCGGAAGCAACGCCCCGGCUAACUCCGUGCCAGCCGCCGCGGUAAG